GAUGAACGCUGGCGGCGUGCCUAAUACAUGCAAGUCGAGCGAACGGACGAGAAGCUUGCUUUUCUGAUGUUAGCGGCGGACGGGUGAGUAACACGUGGAUAACCUACCUAUAAGACUGGGAUAACUUCGGGAAACCGGAGCUAAUACCGGAUAAUAUUUUGAACCGCAUGGUUCAAAAGUGAAAGACGGUCUUGCUGUCACUUAUAGAUGGAUCCGCGCUGCAUUAGCUAGUUGGUAAGGUAACGGCUUACCAAGGCAACGAUGCAUAGCCGACCUGAGAGGGUGAUCGGCCACACUGGAACUGAGACACGGUCCAGACUCCUACGGGAGGCAGCAGUAGGGAAUCUUCCGCAAUGGGCGGAAGCCUGACGGAGCAACGCCGCGUGAGUGAUGAAGGUCUUCCGAUCGUAAAACUCUGUUAUUAGGGAAGAACAUAUGUGUAAGUAACUGUGCACAUCUUGACGGUACCUAAUCAGAAAGCCACGGCUAACUACGUGCCAGCAGCCGCGGUAAUACGUAGGUGGCAAGCGUUAUCCGGAAUUAUUGGGCGUAAAGCGCGCGUAGGCGGUUUUUUAAGUCUGAUGUGAAAGCCCACGGCUCAACCGUGGAGGGUCAUUGGAAACUGGAAAACUUGAGUGCAGAAGAGGAAAGUGGAAUUCCAUGUGUAGCGGUGAAAUGCGCAGAGAUAUGGAGGAACACCAGUGGCGAAGGCGACUUUCUGGUCUGUAACUGACGCUGAUGUGCGAAAGCGUGGGGAUCAAACAGGAUUAGAUACCCUGGUAGUCCACGCCGUAAACGAUGAGUGCUAAGUGUUAGGGGGUUUCCGCCCCUUAGUGCUGCAGCUAACGCAUUAAGCACUCCGCCUGGGGAGUACGACCGCAAGGUUGAAACUCAAAGGAAUUGACGGGGACCCGCACAAGCGGUGGAGCAUGUGGUUUAAUUCGAAGCAACGCGAAGAACCUUACCAAAUCUUGACAUCCUUUGACAACUCUAGAGAUAGAGCCUUCCCCUUCGGGGGACAAAGUGACAGGUGGUGCAUGGUUGUCGUCAGCUCGUGUCGUGAGAUGUUGGGUUAAGUCCCGCAACGAGCGCAACCCUUAAGCUUAGUUGCCAUCAUUAAGUUGGGCACUCUAAGUUGACUGCCGGUGACAAACCGGAGGAAGGUGGGGAUGACGUCAAAUCAUCAUGCCCCUUAUGAUUUGGGCUACACACGUGCUACAAUGGACAAUACAAAGGGCAGCGAAACCGCGAGGUCAAGCAAAUCCCAUAAAGUUGUUCUCAGUUCGGAUUGUAGUCUGCAACUCGACUACAUGAAGCUGGAAUCGCUAGUAAUCGUAGAUCAGCAUGCUACGGUGAAUACGUUCCCGGGUCU
This 1372-nucleotide ribosomal RNA is filed under the name uncultured bacterium. RNAcentral's name for it is "bacterial SSU rRNA". It matches the Rfam family "Bacterial small subunit ribosomal RNA", at positions 28 to 1381 of the family's 1533-position model. The record is from RNAcentral.